Molecule: long non-coding RNA, 941 nt
Organism: Mustela lutreola (European mink)
Lineage: Eukaryota; Metazoa; Chordata; Mammalia; Carnivora; Mustelidae
Exons: 3
Source: RefSeq, a predicted model, not a curated record
UGAUACUCUACACAGUAUUUGCUGAAUGAAUAAAUCUUGAGUCUUUUAUUAUUCAUUUAUAUAUUUUUUAAAGAUUUUAUUCCUUUAUUUAAGAGAAGGAGAGAGUAAGAGUAGGUAGAAGGGCAGAGGGAGAGGGACAAGCAGAUUCCUUGUUGAGCCCGGAGCCCCAUGCACAGCUCCAUCCCAGGACCCCAAGAUCAUGACCUCAGCUAUGUCCAAGGCUUAACCAACUGAGCCACGCAGUGUCAUUUUGUACAAGCAAAAAGGAAAAGCUGACGUUUUGAACAUCCUGCCUGAAAAACAUCUUUCCCAAGACUACACAUUCAUUAGAGACAGAGUUUAUGCUAUUCGUUGCUGUAUAUGAAGAAUAUAUUCUCUGGUGUUCAGAAGAUCAGAAAAUCUGAUUCCUGUUCAGGGCAUACCCACUUGUACAUUGUUCACUGACAACUGCUUCCAAACACCAAGGGGCCCAGGGGUCCAGCUCUGUGCUGUCUUAGUCAAGAAACCUCCCCUAUUUCUUACAGGACUGUGAGUUUCUUACAGUAGUCCUUUAACUUACAGUUGCAAAUAAGUGAAUCCCCUAAGAAAGUGACUUAAACAGUGACUUUUGCAUACAAAAGUUCUGGAGCGAGACAGCUCCAUAUUGAGCACAGAAGCUUUCUGGCAAUACUGAAAGCCCAUCUUCUCACCUUGUUAACCUCAUAGUAUUGCACGAGUCUAAGGAUGCUGUGGAAAACUGCUAGAUACCAGCUCAAAGUCUUUUCUCCUCAGGGCGCAGGUGGCUCAGUGGGUAAAGCCUCUGUGUUCGGCUGAGGUCAUGAUCCCAGGGUCCUAGGAUCGAACCCCGCAUUGAGCCCCACAUCGAGCCCCACAUCGGGCUCUCUGCUCAGCAGGGAGCCUGCUUCCUCUCUCUCUGCCUGCUUCUCUGCCUACUUGUGAUC